This 377-nucleotide ribosomal RNA is filed under the name uncultured organism. Its description in RNAcentral is "bacterial SSU rRNA". It matches the Rfam family "Bacterial small subunit ribosomal RNA", at positions 526 to 896 of the family's 1533-position model. The record is from RNAcentral.
CAGAGGAGCCAAGCGUUGUCCGGAAUAACUGGGCGUAAAGCGCACGCAGGCGGUUCGGUGCGUGGGGUGUGAAAACUGGCGGCUUAACCGCCAGAGGCCACCUCAUACGGCCGAGCUCGAGCUCUGCAGAGGUCCAUGGAAUUGCCGGUGUAGUGGUGAAAUGCGUAGAGAUCGGCAGGAACACCCAGGGGGAAACCAGUGGACUGGGCAGCAGCUGACGCUGAUGUGCGAAAGCGUGGGGAGCGAACCGGAUUAGAUACCCGGGUAGUCCACGCCGUAAACGAUGAAUACUCGGCAUUUGGUGGGCGAUUCUCGUCUGCCGGGUGCCCCAGCUAACGCGGUAAGUAUUCCGCCUGGGAACUACGAGCGCAAGCUUA